CCUACGGGUGGCAGCAGUGAGGAAUAUUGGUCAAUGGACGAGAGUCUGAACCAGCCAAGUAGCGUGAAGGAUGACUGCCCUAUGGGUUGUAAACUUCUUUUAUAUGGGAAUAAAAUGUUCCACGUGUGGGAUUUUGUAUGUACCAUAUGAAUAAGGAUCGGCUAACUCCGUGCCAGCAGCCGCGGUAAUACGGAGGAUCCGAGCGUUAUCCGGAUUUAUUGGGUUUAAAGGGAGCGUAGGUGGAUUGUUAAGUCAGUUGUGAAAGUUUGCGGCUCAACCGUAAAAUUGCAGUUGAAACUGGCAGUCUUGAGUACAGUAGAGGUGAGCGGAAUGCGUGGUGUAGCGGUGAAAUGCUUAGAUAUCACGAAGAACUCCGAUUGCGAAGGCAGUUCACUGGACUGCAACUGACACUGAGGCUCGAAAGUGUGGGUAUCAAACAGGAUUAGAUACCCCUGUAGUC
Molecule: ribosomal RNA, 460 nt
Filed under: uncultured bacterium
Lineage: Bacteria
Description: partial 16S ribosomal RNA
Rfam family: Bacterial small subunit ribosomal RNA
Source: RNAcentral